Molecule: ribosomal RNA, 853 nt
Filed under: uncultured SAR324 cluster bacterium
Lineage: Bacteria; Deltaproteobacteria
Description: bacterial SSU rRNA
Rfam family: Bacterial small subunit ribosomal RNA
Source: RNAcentral
AGAGUUUGAUCCUGGCUCAGAACGAACGCUGGCGGCAUGCCUUAUACAUGCAAGUCGAACGAGAAAGUCACUUCGGUGGCGAGUACAGUGGCGCACGGGUGAGUAACGCGUAGAUGAUCUACCCUUCAGUCUGGGACAACUCUUGGAAACGGGAGCUAAUACCGGAUAAAACCUUCGGGUUGAAAGAUUUAUCGCUGGGGGAUGAGUCUGCGUACCAUUAGCUUGUUGGUGGGGUAACGGCCUACCAAGGCGACGAUGGUUAGCGGGUCUGAGAGGACGAUCCGCCACACUGGAACUGAGACACGGUCCAGACUCCUACGGGAGGCAGCAGUAGGGAAUAUUGCGCAAUGGGGGCAACCCUGACGCAGCAAUGCCGCGUGAGUGAAGAAGGCCUUCGGGUCGUAAAGCUCUUUUAUGGGGGAAGAUGAUGACGGUACCCCAUGAAUAAGCACCGGCUAACUACGUGCCAGCAGCCGCGGUAAUACGUAGGGUGCGAGCGUUGUUCGGAAUUACUGGGCGUAAAGGGCGUGCAGGCGGAUUGGCAAGCCGGAGGUGAAAGCCCGGGGCUCAACCCCGGAGGGUCUUUCGGAACUGCCAGUCUUGAGAGGGUCAGGGGCCAGCGGAAUUCCUGGUGUAGAGGUGAAAUUCGUAGAGAUCAGGAGGAACACCGGCGGCGAAAGCGGCUGGCUGGGGCCACUCUGACGCUGAGGCGCGAAAGCGUGGGGAGCAAACAGGAUUAGAUACCCUGGGGAGUCCACGCCGUAAACGAUGGGCACUAAGCGUCCGACGGGGUUCGACCCUGUUGGGGUGCUGCAGUUAACGCGUUAAGUGCCCCGCCUGGGGAGUACGGUCG